Molecule: small nuclear RNA, 164 nt
Organism: Gopherus flavomarginatus (Mexican gopher tortoise)
Lineage: Eukaryota; Metazoa; Chordata; Testudines; Testudinidae
Product: U1 spliceosomal RNA
Exons: 1
Source: RefSeq, a predicted model, not a curated record
AUGCUUACCUGGCAGGGGACAUACAAUGACUGUGAAGGGGGUUUUUCUAGAGUGAGGUUUCUCCAUUGCACUGUGUGUUUGAUGACCCUUGUGGUUUCCCCAAAUGAGGGAAACUUGACUGCAUAAUUUGUGGUAGUGGGGGACUGUGUUUGUAUUUUUCCCUG